Long non-coding RNA from Rhinolophus ferrumequinum (greater horseshoe bat), 1830 nucleotides. RefSeq lists it as uncharacterized. The record is from RefSeq and is a predicted model, not a curated record. The transcript is spliced from 4 exons. Lineage: Eukaryota; Metazoa; Chordata; Mammalia; Chiroptera; Rhinolophidae.
UGCUUCUUUGUCCAGCAGGUAUAGUUGAGUUCAUGUGAAUAGCAUUAGGAGUAGGUCCAGUUGGUUUUACGUGUGCUGAUUGUAGUGGAGGGCUGUUGACCUUGGUGACUGCUGGCCUCUAAAAAGCAGAAGCUGAGCUUGAAAACAUGGAUUAAACCAAGACUUCCAUCAUAAUACGAAGAGCCACACAUCAUAUUGUAAAACCCCAGUUCUGAGAGAAUCUGGGAAAUGGAGAAGAGCACAUGAAUGUUCAGCAAACAUGAACUGAAUUAGCUCCAGACAUGAAAGGAAACGACAGAAAAUGGGGUCUUCAUCUGACUACCUCUGCCUCUGCUGUCGGCUUCAAGAGUGGUAUCCGUGGCACCUGGAAGUCAGCGUUCCCGCCCCUGUGUGACAGAUGGACAGCCCUCCGAUGGACAGCCCUCCUGCCCCUCAGCAGUCAGACUGACAGAGACCCACUGUGACACGUCAGAACCCACAGAAAAUAUUCCUCCUGUGCAUUACUUAGGACUUUCCUGCAUUUAUAUAAUACCCAGCUUCCUGAAAGUAAUUUGUUUUGGAUUGUGUAGAGCUGGGCAGGACAUCAAAGGGAUGCUAAGCAGUGGUAAUAACACAGUGAGGUUUAUGGUCACUGAGGUAUUAAAUAUCACUCGUAAAUUACAGGGUGAGCGUUUUAAAUGCGCGAUGGCUCGGAGAACACUAGGCGCCCCGUCUCUGCUCAUAUUAAUUGCCACUGCCUGCCUUAUUAAUUAUCAAUAGUCCCAAAGGCUUGUUGCAGUCUUCUUCAGGAACCAUUCUCUGCUCUUUCUAUGGUUCUGUGAAUGUGCAAGCGCGCGAGUGGACGCGUUGUAAGCAUAAGCUGGCAUUAAGCUUAAGGGAAACGUGAGGAUACUUUAGAAUACUGUGGAGUCUGAUAGCCUUUCAUUUCAAAAGCAAAUAUCCCUCCAGAUGAACCAGUGGCACUCUGGUUGCUGUUUCCUAACAAGGCGUUCUGCUUACUGCUUUGGACUCCAAGCAGCAAAGUCAGGAUAAUGCAGAUGUGUUUCUCUUCAGGGCCUGAUCAGUUUGACUUUCUGGUUCUAAAGCGCUAUCCCUUCUCUGCCAAAUUGCACCCCAUUGGCUUUUAGCUAAAUUUCACAGGCUCCCUUUCAGUUUGAAUUCUCCAGUGUCCUUUUGUCUGCACCCACAUACACCAUUGCUUCAUCAUCGUACACUCUGAGUUCCUACUUCUCUCCUCUGUGAGCUUCUAUGUACUUCUUCUCAGGUGAGUUCCUCUAGAUUUUUGUGUUUAAGGAUCCAAUCUAGCAAUUACCAAGGAGUACCAGAGGACACCCAAGCCCCAAACUUGGAAAAGGGAUGGUGUUUUAGAAGAAUGAAAUGGCUCACACUUUGGGAACUUAAUAAUUUAAUACAGACACUCCCGACACAGAGUCACCCAAGCGUAUUGAACCUUGGGGGACUCCCCAGCUUUGCAUAGUAGAAGCCAAGAGCUGCAACAGGCCACUGAGAGGUUUAGGAAGUAGGUGUCUGAGGAUAUGAGGUCUGACAAUUAAGUUCACAAACUUGUUGCAAUGAUGUUGCUAACCUUUUUUGAUAUCAGAGGGAUUAUUCAUUAUGAAUUUAUGCCAACUGGACAAACUAUUAACCAAGUUUACUAUUUGGAAGUGCUGAAAAGGCUGCAUGAAAAAGUUACCAGACCUGAACUUCUCACCUACAAUUCAUGGCUCUUGGAUCGCGACAAUGCACCAGCUCACACAGCACUGUCUGUGAAGGGGUUUUUAGCCAGGAAACAAGUAACUGUAUUGGAACACCCUCCCUACUCACCUGAUC